This 376-nucleotide ribosomal RNA is filed under the name Acanthamoeba sp. MN-ISP19-T3. RNAcentral describes it as "SSU rRNA". The stretch from base 1 to 319 matches the Rfam family "Eukaryotic small subunit ribosomal RNA", at positions 799 to 1116 of the family's 1831-position model. The record is from RNAcentral. Lineage: Eukaryota; Discosea; Longamoebia; Acanthamoebidae.
AUACAUUAGCAUGGGAUAAUGGAAUAGGACCCUGUCCUCCUAUUUUCAGUUGGUUUGCCGCGAGGACCAGGGUAAUGAUUAAUAGGGAUAGUUGGGGGCAUUAAUAUUUAAUUGUCAGAGGUGAAAUUCUUGGAUUUAUGAAAGAUUAACUUCUGCGAAAGCAUCUGCCAAGGAUGUUUUCAUUAAUCAAGAACGAAAGUUAGGGGAUCGAAGACGAUCAGAUACCGUCGUAGUCUUAACCAUAAACGAUGCCGACCAGCGAUUAGGAGACGUUGAAUACAAAACACCACCAUGCGCAUUGCGGUCGUCUUUGGUGUCGCUCACAAGGCGGCACCGGGGCGGCUUAGCUCGCAUGGCACCGGUGAAUGACUCCCUA